GACGAACGCUGGCGGCGUGCUUAACACAUGCAAGUCGAACGGUGAAGCGCCUUCCUUUUUGGUGGGUGUGGAUGAGUGGCGAACGGGUGAGUAACACGUGAGUAACCUGCCCCCUUCUUCUGGAUAACCGCAUGAAAGUGUGGCUAAUACGGGAUAUUCUGGGUCUGUCGCAUGAUGGGUCUGGGAAAGAUAUUGUUUCGGUGGGGGAUGGGCUCGCGGACUAUCAGCUUGUUGGUGGGGUGAUGGCCUACCAAGGCGGUGUCGAGUAGCCGGGCUGGGAGGGUGGGCGGUAACAGUGGGGAUAAGACGCGGAGAAGACUCCGACAGGAGGCAGCGGUGGGGAAUAUGGCACAAUGGGCGCAAGGCUGAUGCAGCGACGCGGCGGGGGGGAUGGAGGCCUUGGGGUUGUGAACCUCUUUCGCCAGUGAAGCAGGCCUGCCUCGUUUGUGGGUGGGUUGACGGUAGCUGGAUAAGAAGCGCCGGCUAACUACGUG
Molecule: ribosomal RNA, 494 nt
Filed under: uncultured bacterium
Lineage: Bacteria
Description: partial 16S ribosomal RNA
Rfam family: Bacterial small subunit ribosomal RNA
Source: RNAcentral